Molecule: ribosomal RNA, 433 nt
Filed under: uncultured bacterium
Lineage: Bacteria
Description: partial 16S ribosomal RNA
Rfam family: Bacterial small subunit ribosomal RNA
Source: RNAcentral
AACGAACGCUGGCGGCAUGCCUAACACAUGCAAGUCGAACGAGACCUUCGGGUCUAGUGGCGCACGGGUGCGUAACGCGUGGGAACCUGCCCUUAGGUUCGGAAUAACUCCCCGAAAGGGGUGCUAAUACCGGAUAAUGUCUUCGGACCAAAGAUUUAUCGCCUUUGGAUGGGCCCGCGUUGGAUUAGCUAGUUGGUAGGGUAAAAGCCUACCAAGGCGACGAUCCAUAGCUGGUCUGAGAGGAUGAUCAGCCACACUGGGACUGAGACACGGCCCAGACCCCUACGGGAGGCAGCAGUGGGGAAUAUUGGACAAUGGGCGAAAGCCUGAUCCAGCAAUGCCGCGUGAGUGAUGAAGGCCUUAGGGUUGUAAAGCCCUUUUACCCGGGAUGAUAAUGACAGUACCGGGAGAAUAAGCUCCGGCUAACUCCGUG